RNAcentral lists this ribosomal RNA (482 nucleotides) under uncultured bacterium. RNAcentral describes it as "partial 16S ribosomal RNA". It matches the Rfam family "Bacterial small subunit ribosomal RNA", at positions 28 to 523 of the family's 1533-position model. The record is from RNAcentral.
GACGAACGCUGGCGGCGUGCCUAACACAUGCAAGUCGAACGGGGUUGAGCGCUUCGGUAUUCAACCUAGUGGCGAACGGGUGAGUAACGCGUGAAGAACCUGCCUUUCAGUGGGGGACAACAGUUGGAAACGACUGCUAAUACCGCAUGACGCUUCUUGGGGGCAUCCCCGAGAAGUCAAAGCUUUAUGUGCUGAAAGAUGGCUUCGCGUCUGAUUAGCUAGAUGGCGGGGUAACGGCCCACCAUGGCGACGAUCAGUAGCCGGUCUGCGAGGAUGAACGGCAACAUUGGGACUGAGAUACGGCCCAGACUCCUACGGGAGGCAGCAGUGGGGAAUAUUGGGCAAUGGGGGGAACCCUGACCCAGCAACGCCGCGUGAAGGAAGAAGGCCUUCGGGUUGUAAACUUCUUUUACCAGGGACGAAGGACGUGACGGUACCUGGAGAAAAAGCAACGGCUAACUACGUGCCAGCCGCCGCAGUAA